Molecule: ribosomal RNA, 328 nt
Filed under: uncultured eukaryote
Lineage: Eukaryota
Description: partial 18S ribosomal RNA
Rfam family: Eukaryotic small subunit ribosomal RNA
Source: RNAcentral
CCCUUAGAUGUCCUGGGCCGCACGCGCGUUACACUGAUGCAUUCAACGAGCUUAUAACCUUGGCCGAGAGGCCUGGGCAAUCUUGUUAACGUCCAUCGUGAUAGGGAUAGAUUAUUGAAAUUAUUAAUCUUGAAUGAGGAAUUCCUAGUAAACGCAGAUCAUCAAUCUGCAUUGAUUACGUCCCUGCCCUUUGUACACACCGCCCGUCGCACCUACCGAUUGGAUGGUCCGGUGAAGCCUCGGGAUUGUGGUUCUUGCCGCUUUAUUGUGGCGUGACCGCGAGAACUUGUCUAAACCUUAUCAUCUAGAGGAAGGUGAAGUCGUAACA